Molecule: small RNA, 128 nt
Filed under: Paenibacillus naphthalenovorans
Lineage: Bacteria; Bacillati; Bacillota; Bacilli; Caryophanales; Paenibacillaceae
Description: c-di-AMP sequence
Rfam family: c-di-AMP riboswitch aptamer (ydaO/yuaA leader)
About the family: This family represents a conserved RNA structure found upstream of the ydaO and yuaA genes in Bacillus subtilis and related genes in other bacteria. The ydaO/yuaA element is thought to act as a genetic "off" switch for the ydaO and yuaA genes in its native state. It is believed that the element may be triggered during osmotic shock leading to activation of ydaO, a predicted amino acid transporter gene, and members of the yuaA-yubG operon which code for KtrA and KtrB K+ transporters.
Source: RNAcentral
UAUUAUAGUACGCUUAAUUUCCGAGUCAUCGGAAAGCGGGGGAACCAAUUUUCUGGGGCGAAUCAUGAUGUAGGGAACCAUCUUUCCCGAGCCCGGCAGCUAACCUCGUCAGCAGUUAGAUGGGUCAA